AUUGAACGCUGGCGGCAGGCCUAACACAUGCGAGUCGAACGGUAACAGGAAGAAGCUUGCUUCUUUGCUGACGAGUGGCGGACGGGUGAGUAAUGUCUGGGAAACUGCCUGAUGGAGGGGGAUAACUACUGGAAACGGUAGCUAAUACCGCAUAAUGUCGCAAGACCAAAGAGGGGGACCUUCGGGCCUCUUGCCAUCGGAUGUGCCCAGAUGGGAUUAGCUAGUAGGUGGGGUAACGGCUCACCUAGGCGACGAUCCCUAGCUGGUCUGAGAGGAUGACCAGCCACACGGGAACUGAGACACGGUCCAGACUACUAAGGGAGGCCGCAGUGGGGAAUAUUGGACAAUGGGCGCAAGCCUGAUGCAGCUAUGCCGCGUGUAUGAAGAAGGCCUUCGGGUUGUAAAGUACUUUCAGCGGGGAGGAAGGGAGUAAAGUUAAUACCUUUGCUCAUUGACGUUACCCGCAGAAGAAGCACCGGCUAACUCCGUG
Molecule: ribosomal RNA, 490 nt
Filed under: uncultured bacterium
Lineage: Bacteria
Description: partial 16S ribosomal RNA
Rfam family: Bacterial small subunit ribosomal RNA
Source: RNAcentral